AUACGUAGGGGGCGAGCGUUGUCCGGAAUGACUGGGCGUAAAGGGCGUGUAGGCGGCCGAUUAAGUCUGGAGUGAAAGUCCUGCUUUCAAGGUGGGAAUUGCUUUGGAGACUGGUUGGCUUGAGUGCGGAAGAGGUAAGUGGAAUUCCCAGUGUAGCGGUGAAAUGGGUAGAGAUUGGGAGGAACACCAGUGGCGAAGGCGACUUACUGGGCCGUAACUGACGCUGAGGCGCGAAAGCGUGGGGAGCGAACAGGAUUAGAUACCCUGGUAGUCCACGCGGUAAACGAUGAAUGCUAGGUGUAGGGGGUAUCGACCCCUCCUGUGCCGGAGUGAACACAAUAAGCAUUCCGCCUGGGGAGUACGGCCGCAAGGUUGAAACUCAAAGGAAUUGACGGGG
Molecule: ribosomal RNA, 397 nt
Filed under: uncultured bacterium
Lineage: Bacteria
Description: partial 16S ribosomal RNA
Rfam family: Bacterial small subunit ribosomal RNA
Source: RNAcentral